GAUAUUGUAUGGCUUCAGAAGACUUACAACACAACUCAUAACACAUGAUUUGUGCACUCGUAUGAUACUUUUUAGGAUCUUUUCUUGGACAUUUUUGGAGCUUAGAAUAUUUAUCCAUUUUACAUAGAUUGAUGCAUUGAAUUGAAUGAGACUUGAAUUGAUUCAUGAAUGAUUUACAAUUAUUUUUUCUGUUUGUGUUUCAUGCAAUGAAAUUGAACGGUGACUGCAUUAUGCCUGAGAUCUGCUUUUGGGUUCCACAGACAGAGUCAAACAGGGAUCUUGGCCUAGUAUGCUGAAACAAAAAUCCUCCUGUAGACCUGAAAAUCAUUGAAGUGCCUGGAUCAUCCACCAGAAAAGAG
Long non-coding RNA from Megalobrama amblycephala (Wuchang bream), 359 nucleotides. RefSeq lists it as uncharacterized. The transcript is spliced from 2 exons. Lineage: Eukaryota; Metazoa; Chordata; Actinopteri; Cypriniformes; Xenocyprididae. The record is from RefSeq and is a predicted model, not a curated record.